Molecule: ribosomal RNA, 497 nt
Filed under: uncultured bacterium
Lineage: Bacteria
Description: partial 16S ribosomal RNA
Rfam family: Bacterial small subunit ribosomal RNA
Source: RNAcentral
GACGAACGCUGGCGGCGUGCCUAAUACAUGCCAGUUGAGCGCUGAAGGUUGGUACUUGUACCGACUGGAUGAGCAGCGAACGGGUGAGUAACGCGUGGGGAAUCUGCCUUUGAGCGGGGGACAACAUUUGGAAACGAAUGCUAAUACCGCAUAAAAACUUUAAACACAAGUUUUAAGUUUGAAAGAUGCAAUUGCAUCACUCAAAGAUGAUCCCGCGUUGUAUUAGCUAGUUGGUGAGGUAAAGGCUCACCAAGGCGAUGAUACAUAGCCUACCUGAGAGGGUGAUCGGCCACAUUGGGACUGAGACACGGCCCAAACUCCUACGGGAGGCAGCAGUAGGGAAUCUUCGGCAAUGGACGAAAGUCUGACCGAGCAACGCCGCGUGAGUGAAGAAGGUUUUCGGAUCGUAAAACUCUGUUGGUAGAGAAGAACGUUGGUGAGAGUGGAAAGCUCAUCAAGUGACGGUAACUACCCAGAAAGGGACGGCUAACUACGUG